This 72-nucleotide transfer RNA is filed under the name Candidatus Tremblayella phenacoccinincola. RNAcentral's name for it is "Candidatus Tremblaya phenacola tRNA". It matches the Rfam family "tRNA". From Rfam's summary of the family: Transfer RNA (tRNA) molecules are approximately 80 nucleotides in length. Their secondary structure includes four short double-helical elements and three loops (D, anti-codon, and T loops). Lineage: Bacteria; Pseudomonadati; Pseudomonadota; Betaproteobacteria. The record is from Rfam by way of RNAcentral.
GGGACUAUAGUAUAGUUGGUAGAAUAUCUGUUUUGCACACAGGUGACGUCGGUUCGAAGCCGACUAGUUCCA